CAGUCGCCACGGGAAUACGUAGGUGGCAAGCGUUGUCCGGAAUUAUUGGGCGUAAAGGGCUCGCAGGCGGUUUCUUAAGUCUGAUGUGAAAGCCCCCGGCUCAACCGGGGAGGGUCAUUGGAAACUGGGAAACUUGAGUGCAGAAGAGGAGAGUGGAAUUCCACGUGUAGCGGUGAAAUGCGUAGAGAUGUGGAGGGACACCAGUGGCGAAGGCGACUCUCUGGUCUGUAACUGACGCUGAGGAGCGAAAGCGUGGGGAGCGAACAGGAUUAGAUACCCCUGUAGUCCCUGUCUCUUAUAC
This 301-nucleotide ribosomal RNA is filed under the name uncultured bacterium. RNAcentral describes it as "partial 16S ribosomal RNA". It matches the Rfam family "Bacterial small subunit ribosomal RNA", at positions 509 to 807 of the family's 1533-position model. The record is from RNAcentral.